GAGUACGUGAAACUGCUUAGAGGUUAAGCCCGAUGAACCUGAAUAUCCGUUAUGGAAAAUUCAUCAUUAAUACUAUGAUAUUUAUAAUAUUAUAAAAAUAGUGUGCAAUUUUUCCAUAUAAGGACAUUGUAAUCUGUUAAUGUAAUAAAUAUUUAUUAAAAGAUCUAAUAUUUUAGUUUAUUCAAAUUAGUUAUUUUCGGAUUUCUAACAUAGAAUAAAUAUAUUGGAUUUGAUAAAUCAUUGACAGAUUUAAUUAUAUAAUGCGCUUAAAUUUUUCGGAAUUUUGCAAUGAUGAAUAAAUCUUUUGAUUUAAUCGUUUAAAUUGUAUGCGCUUUUAUGAUUAACAAUGCGAUAGAUUCAGGAUACCUUCGGGACCCGUCUUGAAACACGGACCAAGGAGUCUAACAUAUGUGCAAGUCAUUGGGUAUUUUUAAUAAAACCCAAUGGCAAAAUUAACUUAACUGUUAUAAUGGGAUUAGUUUAUGUUUUAUUAUGAAAUAUUUAUUCAAUCCCGGGGCGUUCUAUACAGUUAUGUAUAAUAAUAUUUAUAUUAUUUAUGCCUCUAACUAGAGCGUACCUUGAGCAUAUAUGCUGUGACCC
RNAcentral lists this ribosomal RNA (600 nucleotides) under Melanostoma sylvarum. RNAcentral describes it as "partial 28S large subunit ribosomal RNA". It matches the Rfam family "Eukaryotic large subunit ribosomal RNA", at positions 393 to 817 of the family's 3401-position model. Lineage: Eukaryota; Metazoa; Arthropoda; Insecta; Diptera; Syrphidae. The record is from RNAcentral.